UGCUCAGAUGAACGCUGGCGGCAGGCCUAACACAUGCAAGUCGAACGGUAGCACAGAGGAGCUUGCUCCUUGGGUGACGAGUGGCGGACGGGUGAGUAAUGCCUGGGAAACUGCCCGAUGGAGGGGGAUAACUACUGGAAACGGUAGCUAAUACCGCAUAACGUCUUCGGACCAAAGUGGGGGACCUUCGGGCCUCACACCAUCGGAUGUGCCCAGGUGGGAUUAGCUAGUAGGUGGGGUAAUGGCUCACCUAGGCGACGAUCCCUAGCUGGUCUGAGAGGAUGACCAGCCACACUGGAACUGAGACACGGUCCAGACUCCUACGGGAGGCAGCAGUGGGGAAUAUUGCACAAUGGGCGCAAGCCUGAUGCAGCCAUGCCGCGUGUAUGAAGAAGGCCUUCGGGUUGUAAAGUACUUUCAGUGGGGAGGAAGGCGAUGAGGUUAAUAACCUCGUCGAUUGACGUUACCCGCAGAAGAAGCACCGGCUAACUCCGUGCCAGCAGCCGCGGUAAUACGGAGGGUGCAAGCGUUAAUCGGAAUUACUGGGCGUAAAGCGCACGCAGGCGGUCUGUCAAGUCGGAUGUGAAAUCCCCGGGCUCAACCUGGGAACUGCAUUCGAAACUGGCAGACUAGAGUCUUGUAGAGGGGGGUAGAAUUCCAGGUGUAGCGGUGAAAUGCGUAGAGAUCUGGAGGAAUACCGGUGGCGAAGGCGGCCCCCUGGACAAAGACUGACGCUCAGGUGCGAAAGCGUGGGGAGNAANNAGGAUUAGAUACCCUGGUAGUCCACGCCGUNANNNNNNNNNNNNGGAGGUUGUGCCCUUGAGGCGUGCUNCCNGAGCUAACGCNNNAANUCGACC
Molecule: ribosomal RNA, 857 nt
Filed under: gamma proteobacterium 7.1.22_S
Lineage: Bacteria; Pseudomonadati; Pseudomonadota; Gammaproteobacteria
Description: partial 16S ribosomal RNA
Rfam family: Bacterial small subunit ribosomal RNA
Source: RNAcentral